This 882-nucleotide ribosomal RNA is filed under the name Triticum aestivum (bread wheat). Its description in RNAcentral is "partial small subunit ribosomal RNA". Lineage: Eukaryota; Viridiplantae; Streptophyta; Magnoliopsida; Poales; Poaceae. The record is from RNAcentral.
AUGGCCGCCGCCGCCGCAGCGACGCUCGCCCCGGCCUCCCCUCCGCUGCUGCCCGCCGUCUGCGGCCGGCUGCGCCUCGCGCCCCGCCGCGCCGCCGCGUGCCGCUGCAGGGCCACGGCGCAGUUCCAGGGCGGCCCCGCCGCCAGCUACGCCCGCGAGAUGGAGCGCCUCUCCGCCAAGGAGUCCCUCCUCCUCGCCUUCAGGGACUCUGGAGGCUUCGAAUCCUUUGUGAGUGGCAAGACCACGGAGAUGCAGAAGAUCGACGUCAAUGAGCGCAUCGUCGGCCUCGAACGCCUCGAUCCCACUCCUCGACCCACGACAUCACCCUAUCUGGAAGGUCGAUGGAACAUUGAAUGGUUUGGUGAUAGCAGUCCUGGAACAUUUGCAUCCAAGCUUUUGUUUGAGAGGUCACCUACAAGUGUCGCACACUUUACGGGGCUUGAUGUGGUGAUCAGGGAUGGCUACUGCAAAAUUUCCUCGAACGUCAAGCUGUUGAAUACGAUACAAAACAGAUUCGUGCUGACCACUCAACUGUCCGUGGAGGGGCCUAUCAGGAUGAAAGAGGAAUACGUCGAGGCAUUUUUGGAAACUCCCAAAAUCAGUGAAGAAACACUACCUGAACAACUGAAGGGCUUACUUGGACAAACUGCAGGAGCUCUACAGCAACUUCCUGCCUCUAUAAGAGAUGCUGUUUCGGAGGGGGUUAAGCUACCUCUUAAUGGGAUGUACCAGCGCUUAUUCAUGAUUUCCUACCUUGAUGAAGAAAUACUGAUUAUCCGAGAUGCUGCUGGAGCACCUGAUGUCCUGACAAAACUAGAAGGGCCGCAACCAAAUCCAAUGGAGAACACGCCAGAUGUAGUGAUCCCCGAAUAUCAAAGCUAG